Odontomachus brunneus is the source of this 3397-nucleotide long non-coding RNA. RefSeq lists it as uncharacterized. NCBI's taxonomy places the organism in Eukaryota, Metazoa, Arthropoda, Insecta, Hymenoptera, Formicidae. The record is from RefSeq and is a predicted model, not a curated record. The transcript has 3 exons.
CAUUACAGUCACCUUGAAAAAAAAGUUUUGCCCUACAAAAGGUCAAGUCUUAAGAAACCGACUAAGUUGAUUGUUCUUCUCAUAUAUGACUGUGAUUACUUAAUUACUUAAGGCUUAAAGUUUAAGUCUUAUGACUUAAAUGCUCAUUGUAAACAGCGCUUUAGAUGAAGGCUCUAAAUGCAAAGGCAAAUUUGACUCAGCGCUGAUAAGAGUCGCACGCUGAUAUUGUCGCGUGAAAUAAAUAAUAAUGAUUAAACCGAUAAUUAUAUGUACUUAAUAUUUAUAUAUACUGAAACAAAUAAUUAGACCGAUAAUUAUAUAUACUUAAUACUUAUACAUACUGAAACAAAUAAUUAGACCGAUAAUUAUAUAUAUUUACAUAAUCGAUAAAAUAUAAAAUGAAAUAUAAAUAGUCCCCAGAAGUAUUAUAACUAAGAACAGUUAUUUAUAUUCUCAUAAUGUACGAUUUAUAGUCGAAGUAUACGUUAUGAGAACAUAAUGUCUUCAAUUAUAGAUUCACGGCCCACUUAUGUUAUUAUUAUUUAUUUCGCGCACCAAUAGAGGCGCUCGGCUAUUAUUAGCAAUAAAUUGAAUUCGCGUGUUCAAACAAGAUCAGGAGCGCGUCAAUUCGUCUUGACAAAAGUGACGAUACAUGAGACGUCCUAUGUGUCACAACUGCCACGGAGGGAAAAACUCAUUGGUUGUGAUAAGAGCGAAUUCACAGUAUACGGGACGUACGGCAUUACAACUGCAACGGAUAACUCAGAAAAAACAUUCACGGACAGAAUUUUACAGUAAAAUUUAAGGAUUUUGUAACCGAGGAAUAGAUUGACAUUCUGCAAUGAUGUGUUAUCCUUUCAUUUCUCACAUGCGCUAUUUUAUAUUUCGGAAAGUGAUUUAAUUGAUCGAGUAUCAGCGGAGCCUUUCUCUCUUCUUAAAUUUCGUUAGUAUAUAAGAUUUUGUAACCGACGAAUAGAUCGACAUUCUGAUUUAUUAUCUUUUCGUUUCUCACAUGCGUUGUUUACAUUUCAGAAACUGAUUUAUUCGAUUGGAUAUCAACAGCGCCUUUCUCUCCUUAAUUACUAUAGAAUUUUGUAAUCGAGGAAUGAAAGGUAUUACGGAAAUUUAUUAUCCUUCCAUUUUUCACAUGUGCCAUUUAUAUUUCAGAAUCUGUGAAAUGCGCUAUUCGAAAGAUCUGUCAUGUUUCCAGCGAAAUUUGUUACAUUUCUCAGAGACUUGUUCCUCAGAACAAGACAGAUCUCUCUGACACUCCAUUCCUGUGCUGCUGCGGAAGUACAAUAAAAUUGCAAAGGACUUACAUGAAGAGAAACCAUAAUACUUUCUCCCAAGCGCUUCUAUUGUAUUCUUAUCUAUCAGACAAGAGCGUAAGAAAAAAACCAAUAUUUACAGCGUCACUUCGGUUCCUGCCAUAACCGAUUAUUGCGCAAGCCUCGCCAAUAGUGGUUCUCAAUCGCGACGAUUUCGCGCGCUUCUUGCUGCGUCGUGUCCGAAUUGUUUCGCGAGCAAAUGUGAGUCGUACACUGUUCACGCGAGAUACUUAGGAAUCAGAUGUUCUCACGAAGCUUAAAACUUGAUUUACAAUGUGUUAUUUGCUUCUUGUUUUUUUUUUCUUUAUCUGACUUUUUUUUCUGACUCACACCUUAAGCCUGAUCUACAAUAUGCUCUUUGCCUUCUGUUUCUUGCCUUCUACCUAUUUCUCGCUUAAAGCUGAAGGUUUAAGUCAAAAAGAGAUCAAGAAGCAGGAAGCAAAGAACAUAUUGUAGAUCAGGCUUCAAACUAAAAAAAGACAGAACAAGAAACAGGAAGCAAAGAGCACAUUGUAGAUUAAACUUAAUUGUCCAUAUCUCGCAAAUUCGUGUCCGCAGACGAAGUCGAGCGGGCUGUCGGACAAAGGAGAGACCGAGAGAGUUCUCGCCGCGUCCUUCGACGACCUUUUUGCUCGCCCAUAGCUGUACGCAUCGGCGUGCCGCCGACGGUGGUACCAUUCACUUUCACAUGGUCGCGACGCACGCACGCACGCACUCACUCACGCAUGCAUGCAUGCACGCAUGAAGACAGGCAAUGCGCGCAACGAGUGCGUAGGUAUGCACAGCUAUGCCAUCCGUUGCGCAUACCUACGCGUAAACAAACGCUGGCAAUAAAAUGCAGGUAUGCGCGCGCGGAGCCGCCGCGCCAGUUAAUCGCCGCCACGCGUUAUUGUCGUGCGCGCGUUUAUCAUCUUAAUAACGCAUUCUCUUUCCUGCACUGCCGCGUGUAACAGUUUAUCAUUCCGGCUCGUUACCUGUGCAUUUCCCCGACGCGUCGUUGCCGUCACGCUUGCCGCGUAGCGCCCGACGAGCACCCGUGACGAAUAAUUUGCGACGAAUUUACGAAAUUCCACGUGCGUCGAUCCCCAAAUUGCACCCCGGCGGAGCGAAAAGAGAAAUAUUCUCGACAAAUGGAAAAGAAAGGGAGGGAAAGAGAGAGGAUAACGUUAUCGCGAAAAAUUUGCGUAAUGAGAGGAGAGAAAUAAAAAAAUAUUCUCGCAUUAAUAACAUUGCAUUCGUCGAUUUCGCUCUGCACUGAGAAAAAGUGGCACGAGACAUGUAAAGAAGGAAAGAGAAAGAAAGACUUGCUUACGUUACAGAAAAAAAACACUCAAAAGUUUAUUUGUGAGAUAUAAAGUUUAUUCACAGAAAAAAUAAACUUUAUUAUACAAAUAAAUUUUCAAGUGUUUUUUUUCUGAAUGUGUAACGCAAGUCUUUCUCUCUUUUUCUUUCUCUACACAUGUCUCGUGCCGUCAAAGAUUUUUCCAAUUUCAAUCAUUGUAUACCUUUUUUGAGUGAAAUUGGAAUGGGGGAGAAAGAAGAAAUAACGUUCUCGAUAAAUUUACAUAACGGAAGGAGCGAAAUAAAAAAAUUUUCUCAUUAAUAAUAUUGCACUCGCCGAAUUUGCACUGAAAAAAGGGUAUUUAAAAAUUUAUUUAUGAAAUAUAUAAAGUUUAUUCGCAAAGAGAGAGAGAGAGAGAGGAAUAAACUUGAUAUCCCUCACAAAAAAAUUUUUAAAUAUUUUUUCUCGAUGUAACGCAAAAAACUCCUCUCUUUCUCUAUUUUUCUUCCUCUAUAUGCCGGUGUGGCGCCGAAGAUCUUUCUAAAUUUUAAUCGCUCGUGUACCUUCGAAACUUUCCCGAGCAAAAUUGAAUCAGAGAAGAGAGAAGAGAUAACAUUAUCGCGACAAAUUUGCAUAACGGCAGAAGCGAAAUAAAAAAUAUUCUCGCAUUGAUAACAUUGCAUUCGUCGAUUUUGUCUUGCACUGAAAAAAAGGUACUUUAAAAUUUAUUUAUAUAAAGUUAGUCAUUUAAUCACACAAAAAUAAACUUUAUAUUUCACAAAUAAAA